GCGAAUAUAGAAGAAUCGGUAAAUUCGAUAGUUUUCCAAGCUAUAACUUACGGGUUCAAAUCCCGUUAUUCGCU
RNAcentral lists this transfer RNA (74 nucleotides) under Eucheuma denticulatum. RNAcentral's name for it is "tRNA-Gly". It matches the Rfam family "tRNA". From Rfam's summary of the family: Transfer RNA (tRNA) molecules are approximately 80 nucleotides in length. Their secondary structure includes four short double-helical elements and three loops (D, anti-codon, and T loops). The record is from RNAcentral. Lineage: Eukaryota; Rhodophyta; Florideophyceae; Gigartinales; Solieriaceae.